UCUAAUUUGUUUCUGAGAAACUUUCUCUUCACUUGAUUUGCCUUAAUUGCAAUUGUUACCCAAAGCUUGUUGCAGACUCUGUCAACUAACCCAAACCAAGCACACCUCCAUGAGUCGUUGAAGUACAAGAUGCUACAAACUCCAACAAAUCCAGCCGCAAAUCCCAUUCCCAUACCACCGUAGAACCAAACCAUUUCAGAGUCAUCUUUCCUCGUAGUGCCACCUUUUUCAUGACCUUUAGGCAAUUCAUCUGCAUCAUCUGAACAGUUAUUCAAUGGAGGUCCACAAAGUCCAUCGUUGCCGAUGUAGAUGGAUUUGUCAUCCAAAGUCUGAAGUUGGUUUCCCUUUGGAAUUGUCCAGAUAAGUGAUUGAAUGACAAAUUCAAGUAACUUAAAAAGUUCAAAUCAGAAAUACUGGAUGGAAUAGAGCCAGAAAGUUCAUUUUCAGACAAGUCAAGUGAUUCUAGUGAGCUUAACUUGCCAAUGUUCCAAGGGAUAUGUCCAAACAAUUUGUUUGUAGAUAGAUUCAGGUUCUGUAGACCUGAAAGAUUCAUCAACUCCUGGGAAAUUUCUCCAACAAAGUUAUUUCCUGAAAGGUCAAUGGAAUACAGAAAUCGAAGUGUUCCACUAUAUUCAAGCUCCAUUCCUUUGACAUAAACCUGCACAUUCUCACCAUAGCUAGCUCUUACAAAACCCACAUAGGGUUCAGCUUUAGUGUAAUAGUCCCAAUGCCCUUUCUGCUCAUGCAGAGCAAUUGCAGUAAAAUUGCCAAAACAAUUAGGUAUGGUUCCAGUCAUCACGUUAUUUGCCAAGUUCAAUAUGCGAAGAGAAGCAAGGUAGCAAAGCUGCAGAGGAAUAUCACCUUCAAAUUUAUUAGAGUGAAUACUCAGUACUUUCAGAGAAGAUAGGCUCUCACCUAUCCAUGAAGGAAUAAAACCAUCAAAAGAAUUCAUGCUAAGAUCAAGAGUCUCCAAGGAUUCUAGAUACCUUAAUGACAUUGGGAUCUUUCCUUGCAGAGUAUUGUUUUGCAAAUGCAGGGAAACAAGCGACUCUUGAGAACCCAAGGACAUUGGAACAUCACCACUCAGCAUAUUACUUGAAAAAUCAAUCACAGUUAAACUUGGCAAAUUUCCCCAACAUGAAGGUAUUCUUCCUGAUAGAUGAUUAUUCG
This 1170-nucleotide long non-coding RNA is filed under the name Manihot esculenta (cassava). RNAcentral describes it as "long non-coding RNA (MESC_LNC011945)". Lineage: Eukaryota; Viridiplantae; Streptophyta; Magnoliopsida; Malpighiales; Euphorbiaceae. The record is from RNAcentral.